GCGGGUAUGGCGAAAUGGCAGACGCGCCAGCCUUAGGAGCUGGUGGCCGCAAGGCCGUGGAGGUUCAAAUCCUCCUACCCGCA
This 83-nucleotide transfer RNA is filed under the name bacterium. RNAcentral describes it as "tRNA-Leu". It matches the Rfam family "tRNA". Rfam says of the family: Transfer RNA (tRNA) molecules are approximately 80 nucleotides in length. Their secondary structure includes four short double-helical elements and three loops (D, anti-codon, and T loops). The record is from RNAcentral.